CACCUCUAGCAUUACCAGUAUUAGAGGCACCGCCUGCCCGGUGACAUGUGUUUAACGGCCGCGGUACCCUGACCGUGCAAAGGUAGCAUAAUCACUUGUUCUUUAAAUGAGGACUUGUAUGAAUGGCUCCACGAGGGUUCAACUGUCUCUUACUUUUAACCAGUGAAAUUGACCUGCCCGUGAAGAGGCGGGCAUAACAUAACAAGACGAGAAGACCCUAUGGAGCUUCAAUCUACCAGUGCAAAUAACAUAUAACAAGCCCACAGGCCCUAAUUCACCAAACCUGCACUGAAGAUUUCGGUUGGGGCGACCUCGGAGUAUAACCCAACCUCCGAGAAACACAUGUUAAGACUUCACAAGUCAAAACAAACUUCCACACACAAUUGAUCCAAUAACUUGACCAACGGAACAAGUUACCCUAGGGAUAACAGCGCAAUCCUGUUCUAGAGUCCAUAUCAACGACAGGGUUUACGACCUCGAUGUUGGAUCAGGACAUCCCAAUGGUGCAGCCGCUAUUAAAGGUUCGUUUGUUCAACGAUUAAAGUCCU
This 548-nucleotide ribosomal RNA is filed under the name Pongo pygmaeus (Bornean orangutan). RNAcentral's name for it is "partial 16S ribosomal RNA". It matches the Rfam family "Bacterial large subunit ribosomal RNA", at positions 1816 to 2597 of the family's 2925-position model. The record is from RNAcentral. Lineage: Eukaryota; Metazoa; Chordata; Mammalia; Primates; Hominidae.